CGGUUCCCGCCCAGUUCGCUGCAGAGGCACCUGCGGUGACUGGCCGAGACGGCGGCGGAGCUGAUUGGCCCGGUGCACAUGAGGCGACAUCAGGCGGUGGGGCCGGCAGGGCAGGGCAAGGUAGCCUGCGGCACUACCGCUCACUCUGGACGUGCAUUUGGCUCCAUUCUCCCAGGUGUGCUUAGGCAAGACUGUGAAUAACUCAGGCCCAGCUGCUGCCAAGUGGGUGACUAAGAGGACUGCGGGGAGGGGCGGAGAAAGUGAACUUAGAGUGAGAAAGAGUUCCUGUCGAGAGGUACCUGGCAAUCUUCAAAGGGAGUUCCCCGACUCGGCAGAGUUAGACCCGCCAGGCACUGUAUACAGCAGGCUCAUAAGAGUUGCUUGCUGAAGCCGGCUUCCUCACCCAUAUCAAAUGAGUGCUAUUUUUAAUUCCUAAUGUAUACAAAAGGAAACUGAAGCUUACAGAUGUUACAAGCAUCAGCAAGCCGCAACAUCCGCCUAUACCUCCCUCCCCCAUUUACCUGGGCUGGAAC
This 533-nucleotide long non-coding RNA is filed under the name Mus musculus (house mouse). RNAcentral's name for it is "long non-coding RNA chr5:43948121-43948654". The record is from RNAcentral. Lineage: Eukaryota; Metazoa; Chordata; Mammalia; Rodentia; Muridae.